RNAcentral lists this ribosomal RNA (503 nucleotides) under uncultured bacterium. Its description in RNAcentral is "bacterial SSU rRNA". It matches the Rfam family "Bacterial small subunit ribosomal RNA", at positions 15 to 507 of the family's 1533-position model. The record is from RNAcentral.
GAUCAUGGCUCAGGAUGAACGCUAGCUACAGGCUUAACACAUGCAAGUCGAGGGGAAACGACAUCGAAGGCUUGCUUUGAUGGGCGUCGACCGGCGCACGGGUGAGUAACGCGUAUCCAACCUGCCCACCACUUGGGAUAACCUUGCGAAAGUAAGACUAAUACCCAAUGACGUCUCUAGAAGACAUCUGAAAGAGAUUAAAGAUUUAUCGGUGAUGGAUGGGGAUGCGUCUGAUUAGCUUGUUGGCGGGGUAACGGCCCACCAAGGCGACGAUCAGUAGGGGUUCUGAGAGGAAGGUCCCCCACAUUGGAACUGAGACACGGUCCAAACUCCUACGGGAGGCAGCAGUGAGGAAUAUUGGUCAAUGGGCGAGAGCCUGAACCAGCCAAGUAGCGUGCAGGAUGACGGCCCUAUGGGUUGUAAACUGCUUUUAUAAGGGAAUAAAGUGAGCCUCGUGAGGCUUUUUGCAUGUACCUUAUGAAUAAGGACCGGCUAAUUCCGUG